AGAGUUUGAUCCUGGCUCAGGAUGAACGCUGGCGGCGUGCUUAACACAUGCAAGUCGAACGGGAAACUUUUCAUUGAAGCUUCGGCAGAUUUGGUCUGUUUCUAGUGGCGGACGGGUGAGUAACGCGUGGGUAACCUGCCUUAUACAGGGGGAUAACAACCAGAAAUGGUUGCUAAUACCGCAUAAGCGCACAGGACCGCAUGGUCCGGUGUGAAAAACUCCGGUGGUAUAAGAUGGACCCGCGUUGGAUUAGCUAGUUGGCAGGGUAACGGCCUACCAAGGCGACGAUCCAUAGCCGGCCUGAGAGGGUGAACGGCCACAUUGGGACUGAGACACGGCCCAAACUCCUACGGGAGGCAGCAGUGGGGAAUAUUGCACAAUGGGGGAAACCCUGAUGCAGCGACGCCGCGUGAGCGAUGAAGUAUUUCGGUAUGUAAAGCUCUAUCAGCAGGGAAGAAAAUGACGGUACCUGACUAAGAAGCCCCGGCUAACUACGUGCCAGCAGCCGCGGUAAUACGUAGGGGGCAAGCGUUAUCCGGAUUUACUGGGUGUAAAGGGAGCGUAGACGGCAUGGCAAGCCAGAUGUGAAAGCCCGGGGCUCAACCCCGGGACUGCAUUUGGAACUGUCAGGCUAGAGUGUCGGAGAGGAAAGCGGAAUUCCUAGUGUAGCGGUGAAAUGCGUAGAUAUUAGGAGGAACACCAGUGGCGAAGGCGGCUUUCUGGACGAUGACUGACGUUGAGGCUCGAAAGCGUGGGGAGCAAACAGGAUUAGAUACCCUGGUAGUCCACGCCGUAAACGAUGA
RNAcentral lists this ribosomal RNA (803 nucleotides) under uncultured bacterium. RNAcentral's name for it is "bacterial SSU rRNA". It matches the Rfam family "Bacterial small subunit ribosomal RNA", at positions 8 to 812 of the family's 1533-position model. The record is from RNAcentral.